RNAcentral lists this ribosomal RNA (352 nucleotides) under uncultured bacterium. Its description in RNAcentral is "partial 16S ribosomal RNA". It matches the Rfam family "Bacterial small subunit ribosomal RNA", at positions 338 to 687 of the family's 1533-position model. The record is from RNAcentral.
CCUACGGGAGGCUGCAGUGAGGAAUAUUGGUCAAUGGGCGCGAGCCUGACCCAGCCAAGUAGCGUGAAGGAUGAAUGCCCUACGGGUUGUAAACUUCUUUUAUAAAGGAAUAUAGUGAGGCACGUGUGCCUUUUUGUCUGUACUUUAUGAAUAAGGAUCGGCUAACUCCGUGCCAGCAGCCGCGGUAAUACGGAGGAUCCGAGCGUUAUCCGGAAUUAUUGGGUUUAAAGGGAGCGUAGAUGGGUUGUUAAGUCAGUGGUGAAAUGUGGCGGAUCAACCGUAAAAUUGCAAUUGAUACUGGCAGUCGUGAGUACAGUGGAGGUAGGCGGAAUUCGUGGUGUGGCGGUGAAAU